UCCGAUGUGGUGUAGUGGCUAACAUUGCUGUCUUUCAAUUGCAUCUACUGGAAUCCACAGCAGCCCGGGGUUCGAUUCCCCGCAUCGGAA
This is a non-coding RNA of Marasmius tenuissimus, 90 nucleotides long. Lineage: Eukaryota; Fungi; Basidiomycota; Agaricomycetes; Agaricales; Marasmiaceae. The record is from the annotation of a GenBank genome assembly.